UCCCUGGUAGUCCAGUGGUCAGGAUUGGUUACUCACACUGCCAUGGCCUGGGUUCAAUUCCCAGCCAGGGUA
Non-coding RNA from Oxyura jamaicensis (ruddy duck), 72 nucleotides. NCBI's taxonomy places the organism in Eukaryota, Metazoa, Chordata, Aves, Anseriformes, Anatidae. The record is from the annotation of a RefSeq genome assembly.